AAUUUUAAAGAGCCGCGGUAUUUUGACCGUGCAAAGGUAGCAUAAUCAUUAGUUUCUUAAUUGGGGGCUGGAAUGAAUGGUUUCACGAAAAAUUAACUGUCUCUUAAUAAUUUUUAGAAUUUAACUUUUAAGUUAAAAGGCUUAAAUUUUUCUUUAGGACGAGAAGACCCUAUAGAGCUUAACAUUUAUUUUAUAUAUUUUAUAUAGUUAAUCUUUUUAUAUUAAAUUUUAAUGUUUUGUUGGGGUGACAUGAAGAAUUAAUAAACUCUUCAUUAUAAAAUCAUUGAUUUAUGUUUAAUUGAUCCAUAAUUUAUGAUCAUAAGAUUAAGUUACCUUAGGGAUAACAGCGUAAUUAUUUUUGAGAGCUCAUAUCGACAAAAUAGAUUGCGACCUCGAUGUUGGAUUAAGAUUAAUUUUAGGUGUAGUAGCUUAAUUAUUAGGUCUGUUCGACCUUUAAAUUCUU
Molecule: ribosomal RNA, 463 nt
Filed under: Aiolopus thalassinus
Lineage: Eukaryota; Metazoa; Arthropoda; Insecta; Orthoptera; Acrididae
Description: partial 16S ribosomal RNA
Rfam family: Bacterial large subunit ribosomal RNA
Source: RNAcentral